AAAAGAAGAUGGGGGACCCUUCCCCCCCCGAAUGGAAGGAAGGGGUAAGGAAAAGCAGUUCACCCCCAACAGGACUCACUGUGGUUCUCAGUUGAUGGCACCCCAAAAAAGCUCCUCCUUUUCUUCCAGCGAGCACAGAGACUCUCCGAUGAAACACACAGCAGGUCCGGGCUGGAGACAAAAGACAGCUCGCAGGCAAGUUGAAGCCAGCAGUCAGGGCUGACCAGGACGGGAAACCAAACAAAAAGGCUUCCAGGCCUUCUCUCCAAAUGCCCCAAACACAGACCCUGUCUCCAUCCUCGGAAAAAAGAACCCAGCCGUCUGAAUCUCUCCCCUCUGAACUGAGCCAGCCGCCCCCUCCCCAAAACUCCUCCCCUCUCCCCCAGUCUCUGAUGGGCCAUUUGCAAGGAAUUGGGCCAGAUCUUUUGUAAAGCUAAUUGGCUCCCUUCCCCCUUUUCCACUCAAACUCCAUCUUUCCUACAGUGGGGGGGGGGCCAGGGGAAGGAAAAAUUCUCCUGAAUUUCUAACCUAUAACACAGGUACUCACCCAUCUCACAAGAAAAAAAAAGUAAAAGCGAAACUAUCACACACUGAAUCACAGAAUAAUAGAAUCAUAGAAUGAUUUGGGUUGGAAGGGACUUUAAAGAUCAUUUCGUUCCAAUCCCCCUGCCAUGGGACACCUUCCACUAGGCCAAGUUGCUCAAAUCUCCAUUCAACGUGGCCUUGAACCUAGCCUUGAACAACACCACCUUUUACAUUGUGAAUUCUUUUUGAAUAAUAGAGAAUAAUAUGAACAAUGUCCUUGUUCUUUGGCUUUCCUUAUUUAAGUGGGUUUGUGAUUACAGAAGAGAGGAAUCAAAAGCAUAUUACUAGACAUUUAGUUGAAGGAAAUGGAUCAGAUCUGAACAACCUAGAGAUUCUAUCAUUUUUUUUCCACUCAAGAUCUCAAAGAAUUCCAGAGCCUUAUCAAGACUCUGCCUACAUACUCCCAGGGAGACUGAUUUCAAAUUGGAGUAAUGCUUAAAUGAAGACACCACUGAAAGAAUUGUCAUAAAAAUGACUUGUCAUAAUUAGUAUUAUUUUCUAGGUGAGCCCCACUGUGCCAAUCCACCCCUUACAGAAAGACUGCUGCUUACUACAGAAAGAAAAAAAGACAGUAGACUAAUUGUACUGUAUGAUUCUCUAUUGAGCUUUCAGUGUUUGAUGUACUCACUGCAAUGUGCUUACUGUUUGUGUUCUCCAGAUAGGCAGCACUCUGUACAAACAUUAAAUAGUCAUAACCAAGUUAUGGUUAGUCUUCUCUUCAAUCCCAGAGUGAGGAGCUUUCCCAGAUGGUACGUUCUUUAAUAAAGUCCAUAUGUUGAUCAGCAGCAACAGCGGGGAAGAGGCUUUAUAAGCAAAGGCUGUGGGACCAAGCCAACAGCAGUCACAGGCUGGUUAACUGGAGAGGCAUGUGGAUACCUUGCAUCAGCUGGAAAUGUGCUGCCUUUCACUGGUUGGCAUGGCUACCUGCUCACUUCUUCAGUCUCUUCAAUUCAACCCUGUCCCCAGUCCAUUCUUUCCUUGUUGCUUGGUCAUCUUAUGUCAUCCUUCCUUUCCUGUGUUCAGCUGUGGCAUGCACAAAGGACGAACUACACUGAAGAUACAUAAAAUAUUGUUUGGCAUUGAA
Molecule: long non-coding RNA, 1669 nt
Organism: Pseudopipra pipra
Lineage: Eukaryota; Metazoa; Chordata; Aves; Passeriformes; Pipridae
Exons: 2
Source: RefSeq, a predicted model, not a curated record